Molecule: ribosomal RNA, 254 nt
Filed under: uncultured bacterium
Lineage: Bacteria
Description: partial 16S ribosomal RNA
Rfam family: Bacterial small subunit ribosomal RNA
Source: RNAcentral
UACGUAGGGGGCAAGCGUUGUCCGGAAUCAUUGGGCGUAAAGAGCGUGUAGGCGGCUUGGUAAGUCCGCUGUGAAAGUCCAGGGCUCAACCCUGGAAAGCCGGUGGAAACUGUCAAGCUUGAGUCCGGAAGAGGCGAGUGGAAUUCCUGGUGUAGCGGUGAAAUGCGCAGAUAUCAGGAGGAACACCAAUGGCGAAGGCAGCUCGCUGGGACGGUAGCUGACGCUGAGACGCGAAAGCGUGGGGAGCAAACAGG